CGUCGUCGAAGCUCCUUUAAUCCCACGGACGAUAUUUUCCUGGCGAUUCCCCCGGUGAUUUUUAGUUACCCGAGUAAAUCUCGCAUCCCCCACCGAACCAGAUCACGGCGUCCCAUUAAUUUUGCCUGCCCGAUCUCGCAAUCCCCUGGGCUCGCCGAGCUCGCUCGCCCUGACGGCUACCUCGUCGACAAUCCUUCUCCGCACCAACAACUCUGCAUCACGGCAGCUCCUCCAUGUCGCCAGUGGGCCGUCCCGCCCUCCACUACCCCAACCCUGCUCUCUGCACCGACCUCGCGAGUCGCGACCGCCCUGUUCCCCGCUAGAUCUGCCCUCCACCCUUCCUCCCUAUCGACUUUGUAUGUCUUGGGGAACGAAGCAAUCAGCAGGAUCACAGCCCCCUCCCAUUCCCGUCCGGGUCAUCUGCACCAUAUUCGGAUCUCUCGGCCUGUAGUCCACCACGCCGGAGCACCCCUGUUUAUUGGGGAACGAGGCAAUCACAUGGACCAUUGCAGGACCCCCUGGCCGUGCACUACACUCUAUACGUUCUCAAUCUGGUAGAAAUAAUGAAGCAGACAGAAAAGAUUAUGCUGAAGCAAAAGACGCAUGCACUAAGAAGCAUGACGACACUUGCAUCUGACCCCACGAUGAAGGCGACCUCAUGCUAAAUAAAGGGAAAGCAUUGUAUAAUUGCCUUCUUUCAGGAAGGAAAUUUGUAGCACAUGAAGAUGAUGUAUGAACAAACGAAGCACGAAAACAAACUUAUGUUCGGUUAGAAGCAAAUUAGUUUUGUGAUGGAAACACUUUUGUAUUGCAUAGAAGAACAGUCCUCUUGUGUUGUAAUAAUAAUAAAAGAUACAUGGGACUCAAAAUGUCCUACAUGUAAUUCUUGUUGUAAUGGUAUUUUUCUCGUUGUUGGUUGUUUUCAACAGAGUUGUAAAUUAUUGUCCGUAUCGGUUAAAAUUUGUUUC
This is a long non-coding RNA of Triticum dicoccoides, 968 nucleotides long. RefSeq lists it as uncharacterized. The transcript is spliced from 2 exons. The record is from RefSeq and is a predicted model, not a curated record. Lineage: Eukaryota; Viridiplantae; Streptophyta; Magnoliopsida; Poales; Poaceae.